AGCGAACGCUAGCGGCGGGCCUAACACAUGCAAGUCGAGCGGGGGAGCAAUCCCCAGCGGCGGACGGGUGAGUAACACGUAGGUUAUGUGCCCUUUGGUGGGGAAUAACCGUGGGAAACCAUGGCUAAUUCCGCAUAUCGAGCGAAAUCUUGAAAGCCUUCGGGCGCCAAAAGGAGCAACCUGCGGCCCAAUUAGCUUGUUGGUAGGUAACGGCCUACCAAGGCGAUGAUGGGUAGCUGGUCUGAGAGGAUGAUCAGCCACACUGGAACUGAGACACGGUCCAGACUCCUACGGGAGGCAGCAGUGGGAAUAUUGCGCAAUGGGCCAAAGCCUGACGCAGCCACGCCGCGUGAGUGAUGAAGGCCUUCGGGUCGUAAAACUCUGUCGGGAGGGACGAAGGGGCGAACCCUGACGGUACCUCGCAA
RNAcentral lists this ribosomal RNA (425 nucleotides) under uncultured bacterium. RNAcentral's name for it is "bacterial SSU rRNA". It matches the Rfam family "Bacterial small subunit ribosomal RNA", at positions 29 to 485 of the family's 1533-position model. The record is from RNAcentral.